GAGAGAGUGGGUAAUGCCUCAGGCUCUCCUUGUUUAAACACUAUCGAGGGGAGAGCUUGCAGAUACAACUGACUGGUGCACAGGUCUGCUGGGCAGCUGCAUAUUGAAGAAGACAAAGAGAAUGUAGUUAGCAGGAAAAACCAAAAGCUGGAUGGCAAAGGAAGAAGGAGAAACCCCUCUGGGAUCUUAGAAUCAAUCCAUAAUUCUUGGAGUCAAUGCGUGUGUCUGCUAUCAUCAAAUAGCUUUGAGAUAAUUGAAAAGGACUUAAAGGAAGCUCUUUCUGCUUGGACAAAGAGGGAAGGACAUUGAGUAGAUGAAGAUCCCAAAAGGGCAUGUGGAUUUUCUUUUUAUAAGAGCAAUGUGAGGAAAAAGCUUUGAAAGUAUCCUGAGAACACAUACCUGAAUGUGCAGAAAGUAAAGGUAUGGCAAGAUUGAUAUGGAAGAAAGAUACUAGCUCUUUUUCUCAAGUUUGGUUAAAGAUGAUAAAACCUUGAAAUGACAUAAUUUGAGAGAAGGACAGAUAGAGACUAUUGCUAGAAGAACAAGUAAUGAUGCUGAGCUUGAUUCGUUAGUCAUCAGCAUGGAGAUGUAACUGAGGAUGUGUCAGCUGAUGAAAUUGCUUGGAGAGAGAGCAUAACGUAAGAUGAGCAAAAGGCUAUAGAUACUGCCCUGGGGAAUAACGAGAGUGAGGAAAGCAAAAAUACUUAUCAAAAGAUCAACUAAAAGAACAGUCUUGAAAA
This 740-nucleotide long non-coding RNA is filed under the name Taeniopygia guttata (zebra finch). RNAcentral's name for it is "lncRNA (ENSTGUG00000022211.1)". Lineage: Eukaryota; Metazoa; Chordata; Aves; Passeriformes; Estrildidae. The record is from RNAcentral.